UACAGAGGGUGCGAGCGUUAAUCGGAAUUACUGGGCGUAAAGCGUGCGUAGACGGCUAUCUAAGUCGGGUGUGAAAGCCCCGGGCUCAACCUGGGAAUUGCAUUCGAGACUGAAUAGCUAGGGUGCGGUAGAGGGAAGCGGAAUUUCCGGUGUAGCGGUGAAAUGCGUUGAUAUCGGAAGGAACUCCGGCGGCGAAAGCGAUGCACUGGCUGAUUUCUGACGCUGAGGUGCGAAAGCCAGGGGAGCAAACGGG
RNAcentral lists this ribosomal RNA (253 nucleotides) under uncultured bacterium. Its description in RNAcentral is "partial 16S ribosomal RNA". It matches the Rfam family "Bacterial small subunit ribosomal RNA", at positions 524 to 776 of the family's 1533-position model. The record is from RNAcentral.